UACGAAGGGGGCUAGCUUUGUUCGGAAUUACUGGGCGUAAAGCGCGCGCAGGCGGUCUUCCAAGUCAGUGGUGAAAGCCCGGAGCUCAACUCCGGAAUUGCCAUUGAAACUGUUGGACUUGAGGAUGAGAGAGGUGAGUGGAAUUCCCAGUGUAGAGGUGGAAUGCGUAGAUAUCGGGAGGAACACCAGUGGCGAAGGCGGUUGCCUGGAGCUUUGCUGACGCUGAGGCGCGAAAGCGUGGGGAGCGAUCCGG
Molecule: ribosomal RNA, 253 nt
Filed under: uncultured bacterium
Lineage: Bacteria
Description: partial 16S ribosomal RNA
Rfam family: Bacterial small subunit ribosomal RNA
Source: RNAcentral